Molecule: ribosomal RNA, 567 nt
Filed under: fuel tank bacterium 21
Lineage: Bacteria
Description: bacterial SSU rRNA
Rfam family: Bacterial small subunit ribosomal RNA
Source: RNAcentral
UCCUACNGGGNAGCAGCAGUAGGGAAUCUUCCGCAAUGGACGAAAGUCUGACGGAGCAACGCCGCGUGAGUGAUGAAGGUUUUCGGAUCGUAAAGCUCUGUUGUUAGGGAAGAACAAGUGCAAGAGUAACUGCUUGCACCUUGACGGUACCUAACCAGAAAGCCACGGCUAACUACGUGCCAGCAGCCGCGGUAAUACGUAGGUGGCAAGCGUUGUCCGGAAUUAUUGGGCGUAAAGGGCUCGCAGGCGGUUUCUUAAGUCUGAUGUGAAAGCCCCCGGCUCAACCGGGGAGGGUCAUUGGAAACUGGGAAACUUGAGUGCAGAAGAGGAGAGUGGAAUUCCACGUGUAGCGGUGAAAUGCGUAGAGAUGUGGAGGAACACCAGUGGCGAAGGCGACUCUCUGGUCUGUAACUGACGCUGAGGAGCGAAAGCGUGGGGAGCGAACAGGAUUAGAUACCCUGGUAGUCCACGCCGUAAACGAUGAGUGCUAAGUGUUAGGGGGUUUCCGCCCCUUAGUGCUGCAGCUAACGCAUUAAGCACUCCGNCCUGGGGAGUACGGUCGCAAGA